GAUCRYGGCGACGUGGGCGGUUCKUUGCYGSCGACGUCAUSAGAAGUCCACUGAACCUUAUCAUUUAGAGGAAGGAGAAGUCGUAACAAGGUUUUCCGUAGGUGAACCUGCGGAAGGAUCAUUGUCGAA
Molecule: ribosomal RNA, 129 nt
Filed under: Adenolobus garipensis
Lineage: Eukaryota; Viridiplantae; Streptophyta; Magnoliopsida; Fabales; Fabaceae
Description: partial 18S ribosomal RNA
Rfam family: Eukaryotic small subunit ribosomal RNA
Source: RNAcentral